GAUGAACGCUGGCGGCGUGCCUAAUACAUGCAAGUCGAGCGAACGGACGAGGAGCUUGCUUCUCUGACGUUAGCGGCGGACGGGUGAGUAACACGUGGAUAACCUACCUAUAAGACUGGGAUAACUUCGGGAAACCGGAGCUAAUACCGGAUGAUAUUUUGAACCGCAUGGUUCAAUAGUGAAAGACGGUCUUGCUGUCACUUAUAGAUGGAUCCGCGCCGCAUUAGCUAGUUGGUAAGGUAACGGCUUACCAAGGCAACGAUGCAUAGCCGACCUGAGAGGGGGAUCCGCCCACCUGGGAAUUAGACACGGUCCAGACUCCUACCGGGGGCAGCAGGAGGGAAACCUUCGGCAUUGGGGAAAAGCUGGCGGAGCCAAGGCGGGGUGGGUGAUAAGGUCUUCGGGUCGGAAAACCUUUUUUAUAGGGAAGAAAAAAAGUGGAAGGUAAUGUGGACCGCCUGAAGGUAACUAAACCGAAAGGCCCGGCUAAAUUCGUGG
This 498-nucleotide ribosomal RNA is filed under the name uncultured bacterium. RNAcentral's name for it is "partial 16S ribosomal RNA". It matches the Rfam family "Bacterial small subunit ribosomal RNA", at positions 28 to 508 of the family's 1533-position model. The record is from RNAcentral.